ACACAUGCAGUCGAGGGGUAGAAUUAGCUUGCUAAUUUGAGACCGGCGCACGGGUGCGUAACGCGUAUGCAACCUGCCUUGUACUGAGGGAUAGCCCAGAGAAAUUUGGAUUAAUACCUCAUAGCAUUAUGAAAUCGCAUGGUUUUAUAAUUAAAGUUCCAACGGUACAAGAUGAGCAUGCGUCCCAUUAGUUAGUUGGUAAGGUAACGGCUUACCAAGACGAUGAUGGGUAGGGGUCCUGAGAGGGGGAUCCCCCACACUGGUACUGAGACACGGACCAGACUCCUACGGGAGGCAGCAGUGAGGAAUAUUGGUCAAUGGGCGCAAGCCUGAACCAGC
Molecule: ribosomal RNA, 339 nt
Filed under: uncultured bacterium
Lineage: Bacteria
Description: bacterial SSU rRNA
Rfam family: Bacterial small subunit ribosomal RNA
Source: RNAcentral